UCAGCCUACGGGACGCAGCAGUGAGGAAUAUUGGUCAAUGGGAGAGAUCCUGAACCAGCCAAGCCGCGUGAGGGAAGACGGCCCUAUGGGUUGUAAACCUCUUUUGUCGGAGAACAAAACCCGGGACGUGUCCCGGACUGCGUGUAUCCGAAGAAAAAGCAUCGGCUAACUCCGUGCCAGCAGCCGCGGUAAUACGGAGGAUGCGAGCGUUAUCCGGAUUUAUUGGGUUUAAAGGGUGCGUAGGCGGUCCGUUAAGUCAGCGGUAAAAUUGCGGGGCUCAACCCCGCCCAGCCGUCGGAACUGCC
RNAcentral lists this ribosomal RNA (305 nucleotides) under uncultured bacterium. RNAcentral's name for it is "bacterial SSU rRNA". It matches the Rfam family "Bacterial small subunit ribosomal RNA", at positions 333 to 637 of the family's 1533-position model. The record is from RNAcentral.